Molecule: ribosomal RNA, 205 nt
Filed under: uncultured Pseudomonas sp.
Lineage: Bacteria; Pseudomonadati; Pseudomonadota; Gammaproteobacteria; Pseudomonadales; Pseudomonadaceae
Description: partial 16S ribosomal RNA
Rfam family: Bacterial small subunit ribosomal RNA
Source: RNAcentral
AUGACGUCAAGUCAUCAUGGCCCUUACGGCCUGGGCUACACACGUGCUACAAUGGUCGGUACAAAGGGUUGCCAAGCCGCGGAGGUGGAGCUAAUCCCAUAAAACCGAUCGUAGUCCGGAUCGCAGUCUGCAACUCGACUGCGUGAAGUCGGAAUCGCUAGUAAUCGUGAAUCAGAAUGUCACGGUGAAUACGUUCCCGGGCCUU